UACGUAGGGUGCAGGCGUUAAUCGGAAUUACUGGGCGUAAAGCGUGCGCAGGCGGUUUGCUAAGACAGGUGUGAAAUCCCCGGGCUCAACCGGGGAACGGCGCGGGAAACUAGCAGGCUUGAGUUCGGGAGAGGGAAGCGGAAUUCCGGGUGUAGCGGUGAAAUGCGCAGAUAUCCGGAGGAACACCGGUGGCGAAGGCGGCUUCCUGGACCGACACUGACGCUGAGGCGCGAAAGCUAGGGGAGCAAACGGG
RNAcentral lists this ribosomal RNA (253 nucleotides) under uncultured bacterium. RNAcentral's name for it is "partial 16S ribosomal RNA". It matches the Rfam family "Bacterial small subunit ribosomal RNA", at positions 524 to 776 of the family's 1533-position model. The record is from RNAcentral.